AAGGGUAUAGUUUAAAGGCAAAACAAGGGGCUUCAAACCUCUCUUUUUCAGUUCGAGUCUGUAUGCUCUUG
This 71-nucleotide transfer RNA is filed under the name Arthonia cupressina. RNAcentral describes it as "tRNA-Trp". It matches the Rfam family "tRNA". Rfam says of the family: Transfer RNA (tRNA) molecules are approximately 80 nucleotides in length. Their secondary structure includes four short double-helical elements and three loops (D, anti-codon, and T loops). Lineage: Eukaryota; Fungi; Ascomycota; Arthoniomycetes; Arthoniales; Arthoniaceae. The record is from RNAcentral.